Molecule: ribosomal RNA, 336 nt
Filed under: uncultured bacterium
Lineage: Bacteria
Description: bacterial SSU rRNA
Rfam family: Bacterial small subunit ribosomal RNA
Source: RNAcentral
AACGAACGCUGGCGGCGCGCCUAAUACAUGCAAGUCGAGCGAGAAGACGUAGCAAUACGUUUGUAAAGCGGCGAACGGGUGAGGAAUACAUGGGUAACCUACCCUCGAGUGGGGAAUAACUAGCCGAAGGUUAGCUAAUACCGCGUACGCUUCUUGGACUUCGGUUCAGGGAGGAAAGCGAUGCCGAGGGGUAUCGCGCUCUUGGAUGGGCUCAUGUCCUAUCAGCUUGUUGGUGAGGUAACGGCUCACCAAGGCUUCGACGGGUAGCUGGUCUGAGAGGACGAUCAGCCACACUGGCACUGCGACACGGGGCCAGACUCCUACGGGAGGCAGCAG